This 425-nucleotide ribosomal RNA is filed under the name uncultured bacterium. RNAcentral describes it as "partial 16S ribosomal RNA". It matches the Rfam family "Bacterial small subunit ribosomal RNA", at positions 354 to 795 of the family's 1533-position model. The record is from RNAcentral.
GUGAGGAAUUUUCCGCAAUGGGCGAAAGCCUGACGGAGCAAUGCCGCGUGAAGGAUGAAGGCCUAUGGGUUGUAAACUUCUUUUCUCAGAAAAGAAUUAUGACGGUAUCUGAGGAAUAAGCAUCGGCUAACUCUGUGCCAGCAGCCGCGGUAAGACAGAGGAUGCAAGCGUUAUCCGGAAUGAUUGGGCGUAAAGCGUCUGUAGGUUGUUUAAAAAGUAUUCUGUCAAAGAUUAGGGCUUAACCCUAGAUAGGAAGAAUAAACUUUUAAGCUAGAGUUUGGUAGAGGCAGAGGGAAUUCCCGGGGGAGCGGUGAAAUGCGUAGAUAUCGGGAGGAACACCAAAGGCGAAGGCACUCUGCUGGGCCAAUACUAACACUGAGAGACGAAAGCGAGGGGAGCAAAUGGGAUUAGAAACCCUAGUAGCC